GAUGAACGCUGGCGGCAUGCCUAAUACAUGCAAGUCAAACGGGUGUAGCAAUACACUAGUGGCGAACGGGUGAGUAAUACAUAGAUAACCUGCCUUUAAGACGAGGAUAACAGUUGGAAACGAUUGCUAAAACUGGAUAGGAUACGAGAACGCAUGUUCUUGUAUUUAAAAGUGCUCUCGGGCACUACUUAAAGAGGGGUUUAUGUCGCAUUAGCUAGUUGGUGAGGUAACGGCCCACCAAGGCUCCGAUGCGUAGCUGUGCUGAGAGGCAAAACAGCCACACUGGGACUGAGACACGGACCAGACUCCUACGGGAGGCAGCAGUAGGGAAUAUUGGGCAAUGGACGAAAGUCUGACCCAGCCAUGCCGCGUGCAGGAUGACUGCCCUAUGGGUUGUAAACUGCUUUUCUAUGGGAAGAAACACUCAUACGUGUAUGAACUUGACGGUACCAUAGGAAUAAGGAUCGGCUAACUCCGUGCCAGCA
This 485-nucleotide ribosomal RNA is filed under the name uncultured bacterium. Its description in RNAcentral is "bacterial SSU rRNA". It matches the Rfam family "Bacterial small subunit ribosomal RNA", at positions 28 to 513 of the family's 1533-position model. The record is from RNAcentral.